This 820-nucleotide ribosomal RNA is filed under the name Agrococcus sp. RNAcentral's name for it is "bacterial SSU rRNA". It matches the Rfam family "Bacterial small subunit ribosomal RNA", at positions 606 to 1425 of the family's 1533-position model. Lineage: Bacteria; Bacillati; Actinomycetota; Actinomycetes; Micrococcales; Microbacteriaceae. The record is from RNAcentral.
GGCUCAACCUCGGGCUUGCAGUGGGUACGGGCAGACUAGAGUGCGGUAGGGGAGAUUGGAAUUCCUGGUGUAGCGGUGGAAUGCGCAGAUAUCAGGAGGAACACCGAUGGCGAAGGCAGAUCUCUGGGCCGUAACUGACGCUGAGGAGCGAAAGCAUGGGGAGCAAACAGGCUUAGAUACCCUGGUAGUCCAUGCCGUAAACGUUGGGAACUAGAUGUGGGGACCAUUCCACGGUCUCCGUGUCGUAGCUAACGCAUUAAGUUCCCCGCCUGGGGAGUACGGCCGCAAGGCUAAAACUCAAAGGAAUUGACGGGGGCCCGCACAAGCGGCGGAGCAUGCGGAUUAAUUCGAUGCAACGCGAAGAACCUUACCAAGGCUUGACAUAUACCGGAAACGGCCAGAGAUGGUCGCCCCGCAAGGUCGGUAUACAGGUGGUGCAUGGUUGUCGUCAGCUCGUGUCGUGAGAUGUUGGGUUAAGUCCCGCAACGAGCGCAACCCUCGUCCUAUGUUGCCAGCACGUAAUGGUGGGAACUCAUGGGAUACUGCCGGGGUCAACUCGGAGGAAGGUGGGGAUGAGGUCAAAUCAUCAUGCCCCUUAUGUCUUGGGCUUCACGCAUGCUACAAUGGCCGGUACAAUGGGCUGCGAUACCGCAAGGUGGAGCGAAUCCCAAAAAGCCGGUCUCAGUUCGGAUUGAGGUCUGCAACUCGACCUCAUGAAGUCGGAGUCGCUAGUAAUCGCAGAUCAGCAACGCUGCGGUGAAUACGUUCCCGGGCCUUGUACACACCGCCCGUCAAGUCAUGAAAGUCGGUAACACCCGAA